RNAcentral lists this ribosomal RNA (406 nucleotides) under uncultured bacterium. Its description in RNAcentral is "partial 16S ribosomal RNA". It matches the Rfam family "Bacterial small subunit ribosomal RNA", at positions 30 to 526 of the family's 1533-position model. The record is from RNAcentral.
AUCGAACGCUGGCGGCAGGCCUAACACAUGCAAGUCGAACGUGUGGCGGACGGGUGUGUUAUGUCUGUGAAACUGCCUGAUGGAGGGGGAUAACUACUGGAACCGGUAGCUAAUACCGCAUACCAUCAGAUGUGCCCAGAUGGGCUUGGCUUGUUGGUGGGGUAUAGUCUCACCAAGGCGACGAUCCCUAGCUGGUCUGAGAGGAUGACAAGCCAACCGGGAACUGAGACACGGGCAAGACUCCAACGGGAGGCAGCAGUGGGGAAUAUUGCACAAUGGGCGAAAGCCUGAUAGAGCCAUGCCGCGUGUAUGAAGAAGGCCUGCGGGUUGUAAAGUACUUUCAGCGGGGAGGCGGUACCCGCAGAAGAAGCACCGGCUAACUCCGUGCCAGCAGCCGCGGUAAUAC